This is a long non-coding RNA of Styela clava, 696 nucleotides long. RefSeq lists it as uncharacterized. The record is from RefSeq and is a predicted model, not a curated record. Lineage: Eukaryota; Metazoa; Chordata; Ascidiacea; Stolidobranchia; Styelidae.
UGACGAAUUGCAUACCCGUGCUAGCAUGAAAAAAGUAGAAAAAUAAUUAUUCAAAAUGAAAGUACGUCGAGGCAACCUGGAUUUUCAGAAGACCCCCAAUCACAGUUCAGAGUUAUCCUAGGUUUACGAAGAAAUAAAACUCUCACUUAAAAAUGAAUCCAAGCACCGACAUAUAUAAGUAAGUCGGUAAGCAUGGAAACAGCAGCGGUACUGCUACUGACUGUACAUACAGUACCGGCACCAUAAAAGAGUUAUUCUAAUCUGAGGAGAACAAACUCAUCCAACAAAGUAAAUGAAAGAAAUAAAGACUUUGCACGAUCCCAAUUAUCUUUGGUAACCACAGGAUCAAUUUCAGUGUCAUAUCUGUCCCAUUGAAAUACAGAUCCAAGUGACACUCUACCAGGUCUUGGACAUAUACAAGUUCGUCCAGCGUAAUACAGAUUAGUUAUUUCCGGAGCUCUUAUAAGAAACCACUGUGCUUGGAAAAAGAACAAUGAAGAUUUACAAAGCUAACCCGUGACAAGGUCUGGAAAUUUCAAAUUGAACAGUAAAUUAUUUGAACAGGUUUAGACGAAUAUUUCAAAUCGCUGACAUCUUGAUUUACUGAACAUGUAGUAAAAACCAACAGCUUAAGAAAUAAUUACAAACUGUCACAUAGUAGUCAUAUGCACUGUUUGGAAAUUGUUAAAUUCAAUA